UCAAGAUUGUUGUUUCUUCUUUUAACAUCAGCAAGAAGUCUGAUGGAUACUCAGUCUCCAAGAUGACUGAUAACCCGGUUGUUUUGUCCGAGCUUGAUAAACAUUUUGACACUAUUCAGCCUAUUGAUGAGGAAGCCGUCAAUGUCGAACCAUCCGAUUCAAAUCGUAAUGAUGAUUUGCCUGUUAAGGAUUCUAUAUCCCAAACGGGAGACGAUGUAACCCCUUGCUCAAAUGUGUUUAAAGUUGGCUUUACAACAUCGUU
Molecule: long non-coding RNA, 262 nt
Organism: Helianthus annuus (common sunflower)
Lineage: Eukaryota; Viridiplantae; Streptophyta; Magnoliopsida; Asterales; Asteraceae
Exons: 3
Source: RefSeq, a predicted model, not a curated record